GGGGAAGUCGGCUACUGCUGUGACAAAAGAAGAGCCGCUUGGACUUUUCUUCACACUCUUGUUGCUCAGAAACUAGUAUGAAAGUACAAGGAAGAAGAAGAAGUAACACAACCAUGUUCUAUAAAAGCUGAUGCCGUUGCAAAGGCACUUGGUUCUGACCCUCGAGGACAAGUUAGAGGGCUUGGGUUUGGUGCACUCCCUUCAAAAGUGGAUGGUCAAACACACGUUGCUAAUAAUGUCACUAUGCUAGAGAACGCUCUUGCUGCUCAAACACAAUAGGUGGACCGAUUAACAGAGUUAGUGCAAGGCCUCGUUGCUUGGCUAGACAAAGGAGAGAAUGUCAAUGCUCUAUGAUGUACGAAUUCUUUAUGGGAAAUGGUUGGCAUGUGGCAUCGUAUCAAGCUAUCAUCAGCCCCUUCAAGUACUCAUGUAAUCAAUCGGAAGACAAUUCUAAUCUAGCUAGCAUGUUCUAUAUUUGAAAACCAGUUUAACUAUACUACGAUUUUGUAAUAUCAAGUUAUUUAAUUGAUAUAAUUUACUA
Rosa chinensis is the source of this 541-nucleotide long non-coding RNA. RefSeq lists it as uncharacterized. Lineage: Eukaryota; Viridiplantae; Streptophyta; Magnoliopsida; Rosales; Rosaceae. The record is from RefSeq and is a predicted model, not a curated record. The transcript has 3 exons.